GACGAACGCUGGCGGCGUGCUUAACACAUGCAAGUCGAGCGGUAAGGCCCUUCGGGGUACACGAGCGGCGAACGGGUGAGUAACACGUGGGUGACCUGCCCCCUACUCUGGGAUAAGCCUGGGAAACUGGGUCUAAUACUGGAUAUGACUUCAUGCUGCAUGGUGUGGGGUGGAAAGUUUUUCGGUGGGGGAUGGGCCCGCGGCCUAUCAGCUUGGUUGGUGGGGUGAUGGCCUACCAAGGCGACGACGGUAGCCUGCCUGAGAGGGCGACCGGCCACACUGGGACUGAGACACGGCCCAGACUCCUACGGGAGGCAGCAGGUGGGAAUAUUGCGCAAUGGGCGGAAGCCUGACGCAGCGACG
Molecule: ribosomal RNA, 363 nt
Filed under: uncultured bacterium
Lineage: Bacteria
Description: bacterial SSU rRNA
Rfam family: Bacterial small subunit ribosomal RNA
Source: RNAcentral